AAGCGUGGGGCUCAACCCCAUCACGCCUUAGAUACUGGCAGGCUAGAGUACUGGGAGGGAAGUGGAAUUCCAUGUGUAGCGGUAAAAUGCGUAGAUAUAUGGAGGAACACCAGAGCGAAGGCGGCUUCCUAGACAGAGACUGACGCUCAGGCACGAAAGCGUGGGGAGCAAAUAGAUUAGAUACCCUAGUAGUCCACGCCGUAAACGAUGAAUGCUAGGUAUCGGGGCAACCCGUGCCGCAACUAACGCGAUAAGCAUUCCGCCUGUGGAGUAUGCACGCAAGUGUGAAACAUAAGGAAUUGACGGGGGCCCGCACAAGCGGUGGAGUAUGUGGUUUAAUUCGACGCAACGCGAGAACCUUACCAGGCCUUGACAUCCCUUGCGAAGUCUUAGAGAUAAGACAGAGGUUAUCAAGUGACAGGUGGUGCAUGGUUGUCGUCAGCUCGUGUCGUGAGAUGUUGGGUUAAGUCCCGCACGAGCGCAACCCUUGUCUUCAGUUACCAAUAUUAAGUUAGGGACUCUGGAGAGACUGCCGUGAUAAACCGGAGGAAGGUGGGGAUGACGUCAAAUCAUCAUGCCCCUUAUGGCCUGGGCACACACGUACUACAAUGGCUGUUACAACGAGCAGCGACAUGGCGACAUGAAGCGAAUCUCGAAAGACAGUCUCAGUUCGGAUUGGAGUCUGCAACUCGACUCCAUGAAGUUGGAAUCGCUGUAAUCGCGGAUCAGCAUGCCGCGGUGAAUACGUUCUCGGGCCUUGCACACACCGCCCGU
This 774-nucleotide ribosomal RNA is filed under the name uncultured bacterium. Its description in RNAcentral is "bacterial SSU rRNA". It matches the Rfam family "Bacterial small subunit ribosomal RNA", at positions 598 to 1397 of the family's 1533-position model. The record is from RNAcentral.